RNAcentral lists this ribosomal RNA (496 nucleotides) under uncultured bacterium. RNAcentral describes it as "partial 16S ribosomal RNA". It matches the Rfam family "Bacterial small subunit ribosomal RNA", at positions 28 to 506 of the family's 1533-position model. The record is from RNAcentral.
GAUGAACGCUGGCGGCGUGCCUAAUACAUGCAAGUCGAGCGAGCAGAUGAGGAGCUUGCUCCUCUGACGUUAGCGGCGGACGGGUGAGUAACACGUGGAUAACCUACCUAUAAGACUGGGAUAACUUCGGGAAACCGGAGCUAAUACCGGAUAAUAUAUUGAACCGCAUGGUUCAAUAGUGAAAGACGGUUUUGCUGUCACUUAUAGAUGGAUCCGCGCCGCAUUAGCUAGUUGGUAAGGUAGCGGCUUACCAAGGCAACGAUGCGUAGCCGACCUGAGAGGGUGAUCGGCCACACUGGAACUGAGACACGGUCCAGACUCCUACGGGAGGCAGCAGUAGGGAAUCUUCCGCAAUGGGCGAAAGCCUGACGGAGCAACGCCGCGUGAGUGAUGAAGGUCUUCGGAUCGUAAAACUCUGUUAUUAGGGAAGAACAAAUGUGUAAGUAACUAUGCACGUCUUGACGGUACCUAAUCAGAAAGCCACGGCUAACUACGU